GAUUGCAGGCGUGAGCCACCACGCCUGGGCGAGAUUUAAAACACUAUCUUCGCUGUACAUUUUGGUAUUCCUUUUUUUUUCUUUUCUUUUUAUUUUUAUUUUGAGACAGAGUCUGGCUCUGUCACCCAGGCUGGAGUGCAAUGGCGUGAUCUCAGCUCACUGCAACCUUCGUCUCCCUGGUUCAUGCGAUUCUCCUGCCUCAGCCUCCUGAGUAGCUGGGAUCACAGGCACCAGCCACCAAGCGCGGCUAAUUUUUUUUUUAUAUUUUUGGUAGAGAUGGGGUUUCACCUUGUUGGCCAGGCUGGUCUCAAACUCCUGACCUCAGGUGAUCCGCCCUUCUAGGCCUCCCAAAGUGUUGGGAUUACAGGCGUGAACCACUGCACCUGUCCCAUUUUGGCAUUCUUGAUGUGAAGGAGAAACACAGUUACUUUAAUCGUUGUUAGAGGGUAGUGUUAAAUAUGAUUUAUACUAUAUGAUAAGGGAUUUUCUUUACACUAUAAAAAUUGGCUUUGAUUGUUUAUAUAUAAAAUGAAAAACUAUAUGUAUACAAGCAGCAGUUAGAAUUGUGUUCACUUCGGCAGCACAUAUACACAAAUUGGAACUAUACAGAGAAGGUUAGCAUGGCCCCUGUGCAGGAUGACAUGCAAAUUUGCGAAGCAUUCCACAUUUUUUUUAAAAAAAUAGGGUAACCAAUGAUACGGAAAUAGCCUAGAACAGUGGUUCUCAAACUUUGCACAUUAGAAUCACACUUCAGGAUCUUUAAAAAUAGAGUCGUACCUUGGUAUCAGUAGGAGAUUGGUUUAGGAUCUCCUACGGAUACCAAAAUCCAUGCAAA
This 835-nucleotide long non-coding RNA is filed under the name Homo sapiens (human). Lineage: Eukaryota; Metazoa; Chordata; Mammalia; Primates; Hominidae. The record is from RNAcentral.